GACGAACGCUGGCGGCGUGCUUAACACAUGCAAGUCGAACGGAAAGGCCCCCUUCUUGGGGGGUGUGCUCGGGGGGCGAAGGGGUGAUUACAACGUGGUAGAUCUGCCCUGUACUUCGGGAUACGCUUGGGAAACUGGGUCUAAUACCGGUUAUGACCAUGGUUUAGUGUCUCAUGGUGGAAAGAUUAUUGUGUUUGUGCAGUAUGAGCUCGCGGCCUAUCAGCGUGUUGGUGGGGUAUUGGCCUGCCAAGGCGUCGACGGGUAGCCGGCCUGAGCGGGUGGACGGGCACAUUGGGAAUGGGGUUAGGGCCCGAUCUCUACGGGAGGCAGCAGUGGGGGAUAUUUCCACAUGGGGGCAAGCCCGAUGGCGCGGCGCUGGGUGGGGGAUGACGGCCUUUGGGUUGUAAACUCCUUGCGUUAGGGACGAAGCCGCACUUUUGUUGGGUGUGGUGACGGUAACUUUGUGAAGAAGCACCGGCUAACUACGUG
This 489-nucleotide ribosomal RNA is filed under the name uncultured bacterium. RNAcentral describes it as "partial 16S ribosomal RNA". It matches the Rfam family "Bacterial small subunit ribosomal RNA", at positions 28 to 507 of the family's 1533-position model. The record is from RNAcentral.